Molecule: ribosomal RNA, 381 nt
Filed under: uncultured marine Chaetocerotaceae
Lineage: Eukaryota; Bacillariophyta; Thalassiosirophyceae; Chaetocerotales; Chaetocerotaceae
Description: SSU rRNA
Rfam family: Eukaryotic small subunit ribosomal RNA
Source: RNAcentral
AGCUCCAAUAGCGUAUAUUAAAGUUGUUGCAGUUAAAAAGCUCGUAGUUGAAUUUCCGAGGCAAGGGAUUAGUCCGACCUUUGGUGGGUAUUUAAUCCUCUUGCCUCGUCCUUGAGUGGUGCUUCUUGGUAUUAAGUUAUCGAGGAGAUAGCCGCUCAUCGUUUACUGUGAGAAAAUUAGAGUGUUCAAAGCAGGCUUAUGCCGUUGAAUAUAUUAGCAUGGAAUAAUAAGAUAGGACCUCGGUACUAUUUUGCUGGUUUGAGAACCAAGGUAAUGAUGAAUAGGGACAGUUGGGGGUAUUCGUAUUCAGUUGUCAGAGGUGAAAUUCUUAGAUUUACGGAAGACGAACUACUGCGAAAGCAUUUACCAAGGAUGUUUUCA